Long non-coding RNA from Callithrix jacchus (white-tufted-ear marmoset), 616 nucleotides. RefSeq lists it as uncharacterized. NCBI's taxonomy places the organism in Eukaryota, Metazoa, Chordata, Mammalia, Primates, Cebidae. The record is from RefSeq and is a predicted model, not a curated record.
AGGACUCCUGAAAUUGGCAGCAUGAUGCAUCAUCAUCUUUAAAUUCAAAGUAUUCAAAAGUAUCUCACAGAACAUUAAAGCUGGAAGAAAACAGUAAUGGUCUGGAGUCAAGAAAUGAAGAGGGCAAGCAAUGUUUCUGGCAUCCCAACUACAGUUACAUCCAGUUUGAAGCUGCUGCAAUGGCAGCUCAAUGGAGUGGCUAGGAACACCAACUCCAGGAUCAGGGCCCGGGUGUGGGCACCCGAAGGAAUCUCCUGGUCUGAGGGAUGUGAAGACCAUGGGAAAAGCAUAGUGUCUGGGCAAGAAUGAACCAUUUCUCAUGGAACAGUCCCUCAUUGCUUCCCUUGGCUAGGGGAGGGAGUUUCCUGACAUCUUGUGCUCCGAGGUAAGGUGAUGCCCCACCCUGCUUUCAUUUGUCUCCUGUGGGCUACACCCACUGUCUAGCCAGUCCCAAUGAGAUGAGCUGGUUACCUCAGUUGGAAAUGCAGCAAUCACUUGCCUUCUGCAUUGAUCUUGCUGGGAGCUGCAGGCUGAAACUGUUCCUGUUUGGCCAUAUUGCCAGCCACUGAUUAGUGGCAAUUUUAUAUAUUGGAAAUAUGAAGUGUUGGAGUUUUAU